This 229-nucleotide unclassified non-coding RNA is filed under the name plant metagenome. RNAcentral describes it as "partial contains small subunit ribosomal RNA, internal transcribed spacer 1, and 5.8S ribosomal RNA". The record is from RNAcentral.
UCUCCGUAGGUGAACCUGCGGAGGGAUCAUUACAGAGUUCAUGCCCUAACGGGUAGAUCUCCCACCCUAUGUUAUCAUCACUUUGUUGCUUUGGCGGGCCGUCAGGCCUCGGCUUGGCUACCGGCUCUCGCUGGUAAGCGCCCGCCAGAGAACCUCAAACCCUGAAUAUCAGUGUCGUCUGAGUACUAUAUAAUAGUUAAAACUUUCAACAACGGAUCUCUUGGUUCUG